Aethina tumida (small hive beetle) is the source of this 1948-nucleotide RNA transcript. It is a transcript of the gene named anosmin-1-like, with no coding region annotated. The transcript has 7 exons. Lineage: Eukaryota; Metazoa; Arthropoda; Insecta; Coleoptera; Nitidulidae. The record is from RefSeq and is a predicted model, not a curated record.
UGCCGAAUAGAAAAUACGGCGCAACAGCAAUCGGAAAUUCUUUUCAUUUUAAUGUAAAUAAAAACCAUUUGCGAGAGUCUUGAAUGGGCUAUGAAUAUUUAUCGUUUUAAUGACGCGACGAAUGAAUCGGAAUGCGCCGCAACGAUUUUAAUUUGUUGCUCUCCGGACUCGAAACAUUAGAAAAAGCUAAUGAUGAUUAUGAGUCGCAGUCGGAGUUAGAAAUGCAGUUGGUUGUCGUCCGAAGUCCGAAGUUGGUGAAAAGGGAGCCGCGAAUGUGGAAGCACCGUUAAAAUAGGUGAUAGGAGGAAAGUAGGUAAGUUAGGUCGGGAUGAAGAAGCGGUAACGAAUCCGCGUACGCGGUCCGACAGAGUGGUCAGUUAGUUAGUUAGUCAGUCAGUCAGUCAGGCGAAGGAGGCUGACUGGACGGAGAGUGCGGCGUACCAUGCACCAGCAGUUCGGUAAAGGCUCCGCGAUGGGAAGCUCCGUCGUCGUGCUGGCGUUCCUCCUGGUGGUGGCGGCGGGCGCGGGGGCGAGGCCGAGGCUCCGGUACGCGCACCACGACGCCCUCUUCGUCGCCAGAUGCGAGGCCCGGUGCUGGCUCGAGGACGACAAAAGCUCGUGCGUCAAGACGUGUCUGGCAGGUGGAGCGACCAAGGCGGGAUCGUGCCCGACGGAGGUGUCGUCUCUGUCGCCGUUCGCCGCCGUCUGCCUCGACGCGUGCACCCACGACUCCCAGUGUCCGGGGACGGCCAAAUGCUGCCGCCACGCUUGCGGCGUCACUUGCCAGAGGCCCGACGCUCUUGACACGGCUGUAGGUCUUCCAGACAUUCCGACGGACGUGCGUCUCUCCGAAGGCAAACGGAAGAAGACCAUGUACAUAUCGUGGAACCCGGGCAAGUUGACGUACUACGAAGACACAGGCGGAGGAACCGUCAUAUAUCUGAUAGAGGAGCGGCACCACGCCGGCCGAAAGUUCAACGAAAAACGCCUGACGGAGUGGACGCCGUGCUCCAGAACCGUCAAGUUCGGUCAGGUACUCAAACAUGUCGUGAAGCCUGGCCGAUGGUACCAGUUCAGGUUGGCGGCCGUCAACGGCAACGGCACCAAAGGCUACUCCAAGGCGUCGCGCCCCUUUAGCAUAUCCAUAAUGUUGUCACUUUCAGGUCCCAAGCCACCGAAAGCCCCCCAAAACAUGACAGUGGGCCCUUUAAUGUUGUACAAAAACGGAAGCUUAACAGCAGAGCUGAGAUGGUCAGCCCCAUCUUCGGACCUACCCCUCGACAGAUACAAGGUGUUUUGGAGCAAACGCUUACACGGGGCCAAAGCCCUGGAUUCCGUGCUAGUGCAUCAACAGGUUGUUCCCAAGGACCAGACUUAUUUUAUACUGGAAAACAUUCAACCCAAUUCCCUGUAUUUCUUACAAGUACAAGCUUUAUCCCAAUUCGAUAAAGAACGACUUCGUGGUGAUAAAUCGGGACUGGUCUUAAAUACGACCAAUUUUACUAACGUGUUUCAGUUACAGACAAUCUAUUGGUGCCGUAUUCUAGUACUGAAAAACGAAUUGACGGGCUGCACCUUCAAAAAUUAUACAUUUUUAAGGGUAAUCUACGUGGUCGCGUCGCCUGGAACGGUAAGGGUGUCUCGAUGAAAUACACGGUGACGUGGUGGAAAGGAACUUGCCACUCCGGAAGGUCUGGAUUUGGUCACCUUAAGUUUGCGGCCACCACUAAAGCAACACAUUUUGAGCUGUACGAUCUUCAAUUCAACUGUAGGUACAGAGUGGGUGUGAGAGAGGUGUCGUCAGAAGGUAUGAAGACGAUGCACGACACCUCGGUUACUUUUGCCACACCGUCCUGUAAAAACUUUAAGAGCCAUCAUAAAAAAAUUAAGUGUAGAGAAUUUUAAUUUAUGUAAAUAUUAAUUUAUAGAAAUAAAACUAUGUAUGGAA